RNAcentral lists this microRNA precursor (117 nucleotides) under Fragaria vesca subsp. vesca. Its description in RNAcentral is "Fragaria vesca miR11314 stem-loop (fve-MIR11314)". Lineage: Eukaryota; Viridiplantae; Streptophyta; Magnoliopsida; Rosales; Rosaceae. The record is from miRBase by way of RNAcentral.
UCAGUUUCCCCAGAUGUAGAGUUGUGGAUGCUAUGAAUGUCGAGUGAGUAGUAAGCAUUCUUUUUUCGAUUCAUUGUGGUAGCAUUCAGAGCAUCCACAACCUCUACUUCUGAUUGA